Molecule: long non-coding RNA, 1435 nt
Filed under: Heterocephalus glaber (naked mole-rat)
Lineage: Eukaryota; Metazoa; Chordata; Mammalia; Rodentia; Bathyergidae
Description: lncRNA (ENSHGLG00100037074.1)
Source: RNAcentral
GCGGGCGGGUGGCGGAGACCUGAGACGGAGGGCGGGGCCGCGUAGCCCGAGUACCGGAGCCCGAGAAUGGCCUCCCCGCCCUGCCCUUGACCGCUGUCUUUGGGCUCCUCGCUUACACUCUCGAGUCUCACUUGGAGACCUCCAGCGACGUUGGCAAGGCGGGUUGGCAAGGCGGUGUGAAUGAGAUACGCGUGACAGACGGGGAACUGGUCCCACCCGAGCCCAGUUGGCCUGGGGACACCCGAGGGCCACCGGCGCGGGAUCCCAGUUGGGGCUGUGUCCUGGGCCCCGGGCCAGACCGGGCUCCCUUCCUGGGAGACCCAGUCAGUCCUCCUCUGGUGGGCAGCCCAUCAGUGCUGUCCCCUUUACAGCUGAGGAAACUGAGGCACGGUGGUUCCAGGCAGCCCAAUCCUAGUCUCUGCCAUCGGCUCCACUAGCUGGAGAGACGUCUGGAUGGGAGACGAGGUGGGAGGAGGUCAGAAGGAAACACCCUGUCGUGAGCUCAGCUACAGCAAGGACGGCCCCGGGGCAGGAGGAGCGGAGUGAGCAGAGCUCAAAAGGACAAGUCCCGCGCGGUACAGAAGGCCCCGGAGCCAUCAGCCAGACAGUGGGAGGGUGGGUCCCGGGGGCUUAGUUUACUGGGGACGGAGCAUAUUCUGUUACCAUUUGGCUCUGGGACCCAAAGGCCCGUGUUGAAGACUUUAUCCCCAGCACACGGCGCUCAGAGGGCCCCUUAGGGAAGUGACUGAUCACCAUGGCGCUGUCAUCACGUAGCAUCACUUGCUCUGAAGCCUGUCUGACAUCACUGUCCUGCCUCCAGCUUUCCUCAUCGAAGUCUGCAUGGCCAAUCUCUUCCGAACCUUCUACUCUGAACCUGUGUGUGUCUUCAUAUUGAAAGUGGGUUUUAUGCAGCCGGCCGGGGUCUUGUUUUUUUAUCCAAUUUGGCAGCGUCUGAGUUUUUGUUUCAAGUCAGAGUUUCACAGUUUAGUGUCCUUCCAGAUGUCACUUAGCUAGGCCAUGGUACCAGCUAUUUGGUCAAAUAAGCGUGGAUGUUGCCACAGUUUUUUUUGUUUUUGUUUUUGUUUUUGGUACCGGGGAUCAAACUCGGAUCCUUGUGCUUGAGUGCCACCGUUUUAAAUAAGAUCAGCAUUUAAAUCAGUAGACUUUGCUUAAAGCACAAUGUGGGUAGCCCCCACCAGUUCACUGAAGGACUUAAGGCCAGCCCCCCACCCCAGAAAGAGGGAAUUCUGCCAGCAGACGGCACAGCACACCCCACACAUUAGCCCCUGCAGCCUUGACGAUCACUCCAGCCAACAUCUCACUGGUUCUUUCUCCACAGAACGCUAACAGGUGCCAAAGCUCAUGAGUGGAAAUGCUGGUAAAGCCAAUAUGGGUGCUCAUCUAGCCUCCCCAAAGACAUUUCUACAGUGGUCCC